GUGUUUCUUUUGCAUAUAACCUCGUUAAUUUUCUCAGUUCGUACAAUCACACGGGGCUACAGACACAUGACCUUUUGUGUUUUGGACUGUGACCACAAUGGUAUUGGACAUCAAUAAGAAUUUCAUAUUGGUGAAUCUCGAUUUAUGAUCAUUGCUCACUGAUAAAAUUAAAAUCUUAUAUUUUGUACUUGAUGUUUUAAAAAUAAAAUACUCAAUAAUUUAUCUGCUAAAAAGAAAAAUUACAAAAUAAUGGAAUUUAGGAUUUUAAUAUUUAAAAGUCAUUAGGAAUGUUGCUUGCUGAAUGUUAAUGCGAAGUCUUUUAGAAAUAUGUUUUAGCGCGUUGUAUAAUAUUAACAUUAAUUUCUUUUCAGACGCGUGCCAUUUAUCUUGCGUGGACUAAUAGAAACAAUCGAGUUCAAAGUAAUUGAUACACGAGAUCAAUAUUAACAAAAAAUUAACAAGGUGAACCUCUACAUGCAGGCGCCUUUCGAAGCGCAGGAUAUGAUGCAGUUCUGAGGGAGAAAUGGAUCUAAUUUUACCGCUAAAUGCACUGAAUCCCUGUCCCUCUGAAAUUUAUUGUCACGUAUAUCGGCGAAAAUUCUCCCUCGUUUAGAGUGUGAUGCAGAUAGGAGCUCCCUUUCUUUCUUUUUCUUGCUCUAUUCAGCCUCUUUAUGUCGAGAGGCCUCGUGAUCGUGUCACGAGAGAGCGAAUUGAUGAAAUCAGAAAUGCAGAUCACGACGGCACAAUUGGGAUUAAAUGUAUCGUCUGUGGUUGAGGGUGGAAACAAGGAAAAAAUGAGAUCUCGCAUCCCUUUUAGGGCAGCCAGGGUGAUAAGCGGAUUUUUGAUCGAUCUUUUUCCUUUAGUAGACAAUAGUCACAUUGGUCAUAGCAACUUUUUAUGCUGAAGCUAAUGUGGGAAGAUAAUAUUCUGUGAGUUUUUUUUUUUUUUAAUAUCAUGAUACGAUAUUAUAUUAUGAUACUAUAUAAUAUGAUAUUAUUUUUUAUAUAAUCGUAGGUAAUUGCUUUUAGAAUAUACUUUAAUAUUUAAAACGCGUUUAAAGAGGCCGAAGGGACUUCGUUCCAUUUUAAUCCCCUUUAAGAGACCCAUUUUGGCCCUAGACAGAAAGGGAACACUCUUUGCACCUACUCUUUGCUGUCAGAGUGCGGACUAGCCUCCAUUUUCUCUACUCUAAAAGCCUUCUUGUAACAAAAAGCUACAAGUAUAGCCUGAAAAUAUUUCAAGCAAUCCUACUUGAACCUUACAUUAGAAGUAAUACUUAGAAAACCAGUAAAUCCUUCAUUUUCCAUCAUAUACCCUUAUCUUAUGAUUAUCGUUUAAAACUGAUCUCUCUCUUUUCAGAAGUCCAAUAUAAAAUCUGAAUAAAACUCUAGGAUACUUUUUUGGUCCACUGUCAUUCGAUAUUUCUUAGAAGAAUUUUAUAAGGAAUGUUCCCAUAGCUGACGGUCUUUUUCUCACGUUUUCCGCUCGAGAAGAUACGGUCAUUCAGCCGCGACUCAUUUCGUCGUUUAAUCCUACAUGCACUUGACUCGAGAGACCGCGUGCAACCUGUGCCCUAUAUUCGCAUGGGGGUAACUGAACCCCAGAAACACCCUCAAGGGUCCAGCGAGGGCUACAACGUUUAAAAUAAAUUUCAAUUCAGAGCCAGAAGGGGUGUGUAUCACUUUCACUAGAACUCUGUCGUGUUUAACGAGCUAUUGAUAUCUUCCACCCACCAGAACUCCCCUCUGUAGAGUGGUUAGGAUAUAUACGUAUGCAAGCUACGUACUCUAGUCGUUAGCGGCCCCUUUCCUGGCCCCCUUUUUUGACCAGGAAAACCGCCACAUGUGUGUGAUAUGUGUUAAAGCCCAGGCGAGAUCUACAGUGAUUCCAUUCUAAAGUCUUGCCCUAUGGGAAAGUUCAGGUGCUCCGGUGGUUGUGGUUAAACCAGAAAAUUAGGUUCACGGUGAACUAGCGAUGUAGGGCGAUCGAUUGUGGGAAGUUUUGCAAGAAGCUUGACCAGUCUUCCCUUAUGGGACAAACUGUAUCGAGUGUUACGCCUGAUGGAAUUGCAUUCAGUGAAAUUUUAUGGUGUAUAGAGAAGCAAGUAUUUUUAGCAUAUUUAUUCGAAGGUAGCCUGAAUACGGGUAAUAUUUCUUUCAUUCUUUACGGUGUCCGGGCCAGUUUCCUGUCACCUUCUUUUUAAAAAAUCGUAGCGAGGAGAUGAGGCGAUUAAUUCCAGACAUUUUUCUUCAGAACAGUGCAGUUUCCUGCACGAACAUCAUCGACUAUAGAAAUCCAAGGCGACAAAGCACAGGAAUUCUUUGAAAGGACAAAACAGUUCGAGCCUCAGAUUUCUAUCCUGCUCGUCGUGAAUGGGAAACAUGUGAAAAAGGGGCCAGGAAGUGCGUACACCCACGAGGAUCCAUUGCGACACAAUAAACGCCGCUGACCGCGUUUUUCUUACUUUUAUCCUACGUUCGUUCAUCGAAGUUUACGUUUCAAUCUUUAACGCAAAAUUAGAAUUCAUUCAUUGAGAAAAACUUCUAUCAAUUAGAAAACUCUAUACUCUAAAUUAUUCCUUUAUAAACAGAUUCAGUUAUGUAUAAUUAAAAAGCCACAAAUGUAAGAACACCAAAGAUAAUUAACAAUGGAGAAAAUUCCACGUACCUAUUACACAUACAACCGAUUCACUAGGGCGAUUAUACCCUGGCAGAUUCAUGGCGGCGAUAUCUAACAAUAAGUUCUAAAAGAAUCUUAUUGACCUGUUAAGAUACGAGAGAGAAAGAAACCGUGGCAGCUGGCCUGGAAGAUCGUUGCGGAUCCUCCUCCUUUAUAGAAUCCUAUAUAAAUCGUGGACCGUGCCUUUCUACGAGGAAACACGUGCCAGCCACAUGUUGCAUAAAAGGAAUCGUCAGUGGUCCUUUCGAAUAUCCAUAGCGUAAAGUCGCAAUCACAAAGGAGCUUUAGAACCCAUAAAUGAUUCUCUUUCGACCGAAGGAUACGAAACAGCGGCAGAUGUUUUACGUCUUUACCUCUUCAAACAUGUCGAAUUCGAUAUGUACACGCGUUUCGGAAGGACAUGAGAUAACAAUAGUUGUUUCGUCUUCCGAAGCUUUGGAGAAGCUUAGUUAAUCGUUAAAAAACUUUCGAUAUUUAUAGUAUUAUCAUUUUGAUUUAAAGAAAAAUUCUUUGUGCCAAGAUAUUGCUUAGAAUAUUUUCAAGUACAAAAUUUGUAACUCUAAUUAAGGUUGUAUAAUUUUCAAUUCGAAUUUCAUAUGAAUGUGCAAUAUGAGUUGUAUUAACAUUCUGCAAAACCUAAAUUUUAUUGUAUUUGCAAUAAAGGCUAUAUUCUAAAGUGUUUGAAGAAAUAGUUUUUAGUCAUCUUUUUAGUUGGCAAAGAAAUCAUGAUUGUUCACGCACUCACGUUAAGAAAUGGAUUUCAUGCAGGGCCAACAGGCUGGCUGCGCAUGCAUCUAAUCGCACAACCUACGAUUAUGGAACAGAACGAUUCUUAAGAACGAACACGUGGUUGUGACCAUCUGUUAGCAUCCUGCUUCGUUCAUCCUACCCUAAGUUAGAGCUACCCUUUUCGCCUUGCUAGUUCUUUCCUCCUGCACCUAGAAGAUCGACACAUAAGCAUCAAUCUUUUCAAGGCUAUUUGAUUUCUUAAACUCCAAGGUAAUCGUACUUAUAUUUUCAAUCUUUCUCCAAAAGAGAAGAAAAUGAUAUAUUAUAAUUAUAACAAAUUUUUAGGACAAAUUGAGAGCUGUUUAAAUUACAUCGUAUAACAAUAAAGUAAUGGACUAUUAACUAGAAGAGAAUUAUAGAAUACAGAAGAAUAAAAAAUGCACAGAAUAGAAUAAAUCAAUAACAUAACACAAUAACAGAACAGAAGAAAUCCUGAAUCCCGAAAAUUAAUCCUCAUAAAAUACCAAAAGCAAUUUAUAUCGAGUUUCUCACAGAAGUUUAAACACUAAGGAUCUCAGCUUCUUAUCACCUUCACCAACUCUUCAUGAAACCACUACAAGGAACACAAGGCGUAAACUUUCCCAGCAUGCAAUACGCUCAAAUAUUUAGUUUAGGGGGCGACAUCGUGCGCUUUUAGCUGAGAGUCAGAGAUUUUAAGAGGACACCGUCGACGACUGGAAUAACAUUUCCACGGAGGAAUAACCGUCACAUACGAGUCAAAGUUGUAAAAGCUAGAAUAUCGCGGAGAUCGUUUAGGCGGGCCGCUUUGUGUCCUCGGUAAAAGGUGUUCCAAGCAGGUAAAACAUUCCUAUUGAAACGGUUCUACCUGACCCACCUGGCUUUCACGCUACAUUUUCGGCUCGACAACAGUUUCUCCCCAUGCAUAUGGGUAUCAAAAAAGGACUAGCUACAUAAAACGCAGAAUCUCCGAUAGCUAGAUCAAAAAUAUGUCGCGAACAAUCUGUACAUAUAUUGAAAACAAAAUUUUCGUUAAUUACACUGAUUAGAUAAAAAAAUUGAAGUAUCUUUAAUUUAUAAUAUUCAAGCACGAGUGUAUCUUUGAUAGUUAAUAGCGCAUAUAUACAUAUUUGAUUGGUCGACGAAUUAUCUUCAAAGAAAAUUCGAAGGGAAGUCCUAAGUUGGCUGAAAGUAUUGGAGAAGGUUCUCGAAAUCACAGCUUAAGAACCCAAUAUCGAAGGCUUUCGGAAAAGCUUGGAUAU
Long non-coding RNA from Bombus terrestris (buff-tailed bumblebee), 4689 nucleotides. RefSeq lists it as uncharacterized. The transcript is spliced from 3 exons. The record is from RefSeq and is a predicted model, not a curated record. Lineage: Eukaryota; Metazoa; Arthropoda; Insecta; Hymenoptera; Apidae.